This 77-nucleotide transfer RNA is filed under the name Canis lupus familiaris (dog). The record is from Rfam by way of RNAcentral. RNAcentral also lists the same sequence under 1 other name. Lineage: Eukaryota; Metazoa; Chordata; Mammalia; Carnivora; Canidae.
GCUGGUUAAGUGACCGACUCCUGAUCUCAACUCAGGUCUCGAUCUCAGGUUCGUGGGUUCGAGUCCCACAUCCAGCU